Molecule: long non-coding RNA, 2315 nt
Organism: Aethalodelphis obliquidens (Pacific white-sided dolphin)
Lineage: Eukaryota; Metazoa; Chordata; Mammalia; Artiodactyla; Delphinidae
Exons: 5
Source: RefSeq, a predicted model, not a curated record
UCUUCAUCAGUGAAUCAGGGAAACUAACUGUGUUUCUGAAAUCUGAUUUGCAAUGUCUUUGUUCUAUUGAGUUCUCUUCUUUCUUAAAAAGGUUGCAAUAAUUGUACAGCCCUUAUGCAAGAGGUGUUUCCUUACAGCUUUAAGUAUGACCCAAAUUUUAAAAAGUUGUAUUUUCUAUUUACAGCUAGAGAGCUUACUAUUUCAAAGGAAUCCUGUGAUAAUUCUUAUGGCCAAAAAAAAAUCUGCAGUGUGAUUAGUUUAUUAUCACCCUAAUUUAUUUGAUUUCUUAAAUAUUGAAAAAUAUAGAAUAUUAAAUAUCAAAGCCAGAGCAGACUGCUUAUAAAAGGCAUUUUCAGAAAGUGUUUAAAUAUUUUUCUAUUAGAAUUCUCAGUGGUAUGGAUAAGACUCCCCACUGUUAUGACUUUGGAUAAUGACAAAGACUCUAUUCCCCUACUCUCACAAUUAGAGAACCCCAGGGUGAUAAGCGGGGGUUAUUUCAUUUUUAAAGGUGUGAAUAAACCUUGAGUGAAUUGAUAAUAGUUAUUGCCAUGAUGGAGGCAGGGCAGUAGUUGAACUAGGUCCAUGGAUGGAAUUCAGUGGUCUGAUUUUCAGUUUCUCACUGGCCAGUAAUGGACAUUAUUCCUUUCCCUCUCUUAAUCAGAUAACAUCUGGGGAUUCAAUGGGCCAGUUGCUUUUGAGAUGAUUCUCACCACAGCAUGGAGAGAUUCAAUUUCCACUUGCAGAUCUUCCUCCAACUAGAAGAAAGCCAACAACAACAAUAACAACAACAACAACAACAAAAGCACUCUUGAAAGUGAGUGAACUAUUCCAACACUUAAAUCAAAUAUCCCAGUGAAUUUGCUUCAUCUACGAUGCUGAUAACUCUUUAUGAAGACCGAAAAUGUUAUCCAGAAGUUAAAUUAUAUGCUGCAUUGAAAAGGAAAUACUGUACCUCAGAGAGGCCGAGACAGGAAUUGGAUAGACAUGGAUUGUCUCCUUAUCCUGGAAGAUGCCUGUCUGUAUGAAAUCAUUACCUGGAUCCUUGUUGAGAGCACGGUCUCUAUCUGAUUUCUGGUACAUUACAGAUGAAGCUAUGGCUGGAAGUAAGCGCUAAGAGAGUAUGAGAGCUGACCGUUAACAUUUCCAACGUUUUAAUAAGGUUGAAGAAAUACGAUCAGAUGGUCCCUGAGCAGGAUGUGUUCAUUGAGGUAAGAUGUAUUGUGGGGUUACUCCUUCAUGAGUAAACAGAGUUAAUGAUAGCUCCUACUUGUAAAUAUAACAUUUGUGCAGCUCUUCUAACUUUAAAAACCACGUUUACGACUGUCAUUCCGUUCAGUAGUCACAAUCCCUGUCAUUUUGUAACGUGUAAAGAUGACAAGCCUGAGGCAGGAGGGGUUAGGGCAUCUUUCCCAAGGACGUAUGGUGAUGUUAUGGCAUCCUUGGGACUGGGACUUUGACUCCUUGGCUGUAUUCCAAAUAUUGUCCCAUCUGCCCCUGCAUUAUGUCUCUCCCCACCUAAAUUCCUUGUUUAGCCUGGCAAGCUGGUUGUUAGAUAUGACUCAAAAUAUUUUUGAGAUUAGAUCUAUCACUGUUGUUAUUUGUAGAGUGGCUUGGCUGAAAGUGUAUCUGGAGUGUAGUUCAGGAAAUAAUCAAUCUUUGGCUCUAGUGCUCACAGGGCCUUUGAAUGUGCACCAUGCUCUUUUAAUUUCUGAAUUAACUCACUACUGGCCGUCCAAUCUAUGCUGGGCAUUCCCACAGUCGCCUCCAAAGAAAGCUGGCAGACCAGAGCCCCUGCUGAGAGGCGAGUUUCCGGGUCAUUCUUGUACUCUGUUUCAUUUGACCCACGCCUCCUCCACCCUCCCCACUGGUCACAGUGGAUUGGCCUGGGCUGGACACUUGACCUAAGGAUAAACAACCUGUAGGUCAGAGACCUAUGAGGUAGCCUGACGCAAAAGCUCUGACUGAAGAGCAUCACUUAUGAUUAUUUAGGACAAACUGAUUCUCUUUUUUUGGUAAUUGCAACUGAGAAAUAGGAAGAGAAUCAGGCAUUGAUAGUGGGAGGAGAAUCAGGAAAGAAUUAAACUCCUGUUGCUUUAUCUGGCUCCUGCUGUUCUCUGCCUAAAAUACAGAGAGCUGAACUAGAUUCCCCGGAGGACAGGCCUGGCAAUCUGCAUCUGAAACGAGCCUCUCGGGUAUUUCUACCCUAUAGCAGUGCUUUCGAUAGAAAUAGAAUGCAAGCCACAAAUGCAAACCACGUAUGUAAUUUAAACUUUCUAGUUGUCAUAUCAAAAGAUAGAAACAAGUGAAAUGAAUUU